Molecule: ribosomal RNA, 506 nt
Filed under: uncultured bacterium
Lineage: Bacteria
Description: partial 16S ribosomal RNA
Rfam family: Bacterial small subunit ribosomal RNA
Source: RNAcentral
AUUGAACGCUGGCGGCAGGCCUAAUACAUGCAAGUCGAACGGCAGCACAGAAGAGCUUGCUCUUUGGGUGGCGAGUGGCGGACGGUUGGGUAAUGUCUGGGAAACUGCCCGAUGGAGGGGGAUAACUACUGGAAACGGUAGCUAAUACCGCAUAACGUCGCAAGACCAAAGUGGGGGACCUUCGGGCCUCACACCAUCGGAUGUGCCCAGAUGGGAUUAGCUAGUAGGUGGGGUAAUGGCUCACCUAGGCGACGAUCCCUAGCUGGUCUGAGAGGAUGACCAGCCACACUGGAACUGAGACACGGUCCAGACUCCUACGGGAGGCAGCAGUGGGGAAUAUUGCACAAUGGGCGCAAGCCUGAUGCAGCCAUGCCGCGUGUAUGAAGAAGGCCUUCGGGUUGUAAAGUACUUUCAGCGGGGAGGAAGGCGGUGAGGUUAAUAACCUCGCCGAUUGACGUUACCCGCAGAAGAAGCACCGGCUAACUCCGUGCCAGCCGCCGCCGUAA